This 263-nucleotide long non-coding RNA is filed under the name Setaria viridis. RNAcentral describes it as "long non-coding RNA (SVIR_LNC007378)". Lineage: Eukaryota; Viridiplantae; Streptophyta; Magnoliopsida; Poales; Poaceae. The record is from RNAcentral.
UCGGUAAUAUAGAUGCAACUUUAAACUAUUUUUUAAGUACCAGUGGUGAGCAAUUCUUCAAAUAUAGGGGUUAUUUUAAAUUAUUUUUUAUAAUGGUGUAAGUGGGUAAUUUUGAUGAAGAUUAGGAGGUUACUUUAGUUUGUUUUAUAUAAUGGCAGAGGUGGAUAAUUUAGAUAUAGAUUUAGGGGGUUACUUUUGGUUAUUUUCAUAAUGGCAUAGGUGGGUAAUUUUUUGGAAAAUGUAAUAGAUCCAAUGGCUAUGAU